CAAGAGGAGACUCGCUUUGGCUAAAACGGGAGAUGGCGAGUAAGAAUAGAAAAGUUGGUAGGAGUGUCGCUCUUUCAAGGAUAAAUGGACGAAUGAAUUCUUCUUUGUUAGAAGUGAAAGGCAAGUCCGUGUGCCUGGUUUGUGGGGACGCUUCGGCAGUAAUGAAAACUCAAACCUUGAGCGUCAUUAUAGCGCGAAACAUGCAAAACUGUAUGCUUUGAAAGGACAAGUGCGCGUGGAUAAAGUUGCCAAGCAGUUUUAUCCAAACCGCGAGCAGACCAGGACAACGUGACGCAGGCUAGCUUCAUCGUGGCGAGUGAGCUAAUUGCUAAGAAUUUGAAACCUCAUGCCAAAGAUGAAUUUGUGGAGCACCUAGCCAGAAGAAAAAAAAAUCGAGCUGUUCCAAAGUGUCAGUUUAUCUCAAGAGAACCGUCUCAGACUGACAUGGCACAUUGUGGAAUCAUUGAGGGAUUCUGCAAGAGAUUUCCAGUUUUUCUUUUCAAAACUGACUCUUGCAAAGACUCGGCUCCGUUCAAGACUGACUGACCCAAACCUGGACGACCAGCUGAGAGUGGCAACGGCAUCACUGCCACCUGACAUCAGACGUCUCACCAAGGAGAAGCAACUCCAGCCAUCGCAUUAGGUCACACUGAUAUGAUAAUGAUGCUGAUUGACUCUGAUGGCCUUUCGGAUUGGGGGACCCUGGGAAAGGAGUCAGCUGACAGGACGGGGAGGUCUGUAGCAGGCCGUCUCUGUGGGCUACGGGUUGGCCAGAUGCCCGCUGCACAUCCAUUUCACCUUCGUGCCGCUCGCUUUCCUCCUCUCAUAAAACCAAACAAUCCCAACAGCGACCAGGACGGAAAAAGAAGUUUGCUGAGUGAUGGCGACGGGACAGCCGACAACUUCUCCUUCUUCUUCUUCUUCUUCUUCUUCUGAGGAAUGCAGCCCAGGCGCUCCCCGUCUCCAACAAUACACUGACUUGACUGUCCGUCUGCGCGCUCGACAGGCUCAGUGUGUUUUGACGGAACAACAGCGCUCUCCUCUUCUUCCAAAUCUGCUCCUCCUCCUCCACCUCCUCCUCCUCCACCACCACCUCAGUAUACAGCAUCCAGGACGCACCGCGGUUUGGUUCGUCUCGACUCCCCCUUGCAAAACUUCUCUUAUCCCGUAACGCGCGCUUAAGUUUGCGCGUAAAAACCCCACAAAACUGCGGCGAGCACCAGAUGCACAACUUUAUUUAUUUAUUUAUUUUUUUAUAAGUCAACACGCACGUUUCCGCUUAAUUUUGUUCCCCUGCAAAUCUAGAAAUUCGAGUUUGGGAAUUUAAUCGCGAGAAUCCCUCAAGAGUAAGAGUUGGAAAACGAGUUAAGUCUUUGGCAUUUAAAAAAAAUGUCAGAGAAAAACGGUAUUAGAGGUCAAAACUCUGACAUGGCAGGCUUAAAGGUGCACUAUGUAGUUUUGGGUAAGACACUGACUGACUGAUUUUUUUAUGUCUUAAACUAAAUAAACAAAUUUAAAGGACAACGCAGUCUCAUACUGUCCUACUUUGUUUCUAUGUGGCGGACCCUGCCACCCUUUAAGCCUCAAACAACAGUUGAUUUGGGAGCAGUUUGUAUUAUUAUCUUCAUUAUCUCAAUAAUAUUGUAAACACUAAAAUGCUGAGUUUCAAUUUCAUCUCCAAAACUACGUAGUGCCCCUUUAAAAACACAGCGGGAGUUAAUUUCCAGAAGAGUGAAAGUUUCCCUGCUGAACGACCACGCAACUCCAUGGGAGCGCCGUGACCGGGUGGAGGUAUGAGAGGAAUGUCACGCAGAGAAACACAACAUUCUCCAGAAGAUGAUUAAAAACGCGGGACGUGCAUGCAUCCCUGCGUUUUUGUGUGUUUUUGUGGUUUUACAGCGCAGACAAUCAGAGCGAUUAUGUGGUCGAGUAGGACCGGAGUGCCCCUCGGUCACGGUUAGUUUCUGUUGCCAGAGUCACGCCCAAGAUAAGCCCCCCCACCCCCACCCCCAGC
This is a long non-coding RNA of Acanthopagrus latus (yellowfin seabream), 2014 nucleotides long. RefSeq lists it as uncharacterized. The record is from RefSeq and is a predicted model, not a curated record. The transcript has 3 exons. Lineage: Eukaryota; Metazoa; Chordata; Actinopteri; Spariformes; Sparidae.